GUAGUGUGCCUCCAAUUUGAAGUUGCUUCAGAAGCAAUCUAUAUACAUUAAGCCAAAUAUUGAACUGGCCGACCAUGUGGAGGCUAAAGAUCUCAGAGGGAGGAGGCCAAAGAAUUGUGUGGUUAAUGUAUAGAGCUCACCGCCAAAGGCGGGGCCCGUGAUGGUCAACAACGAUGAGGCCCGGAACGCUUCGUCAGCUCAGCGAAGACCUCGAAGAAGGAGGCCACUGGCAGGACGCGAAGAGAUGGAUGCUAACGACUUGGAGAAGUUGCGAGCAUGGGCCGAAGGCCCGAGGCUUCGGCGAGCAAUCGAAGACCCACACAACCGACGGACGAAGCCAGGUGAUGGGCCCGCAUUGGACCAGGGUCAGUUGUCAAGCUGUAACCCACUGCAGAGAUGUAAUAUUACCUGUCUACCCACAGAAUAUUUCGGAAAUCUGGCAGUUGAGGGGUGUGUCGAUGUAAUUGGCCCGGUGGGUAAGUGACCCGCCGCCUAUAAAUACCCGUGUAACGGUCAUUGAUGGGACAUUGAAUACACAGAGAGAGAGAAACCGGACACUUGUCUGAAGACAUUGUU
Molecule: long non-coding RNA, 576 nt
Organism: Panicum virgatum (switchgrass)
Lineage: Eukaryota; Viridiplantae; Streptophyta; Magnoliopsida; Poales; Poaceae
Exons: 2
Source: RefSeq, a predicted model, not a curated record